GUGUCAGCAGCCGCGGUAAUACGUAGGUGGCAAGCGUUAUCCGGAUUUACUGGGCGUAAAGAGUGCGUAGGCGGUUCUUCAAGUCGGAUGUGAAAUCUCCCGGCUUAACCGGGAGGGGUCAUUCGAAACUGUUGGACUAGAGGACAGCAGGGGGAGGUGGAAUUCCCGGUGUAGUGGUGAAAUGCGUAGAUGUCGGGAGGAACACCAGUGGCGAAGGCGGCCUCCUGGGCCGUUUCUGACGCUGAGGCUCGAAAGUGUGGGGAGCGAACAGGAUUAGAUACCCUGGUAGUCCACACUGUAAACAAUGGACACUAGGUAUGGGGAGUAUCGACCCUUUCUGUGCCGAAGCUAACGCUUUAAGUGUCCCGCCUGGGGACUACGGCCGCAAGGCUAAAACUCAAAUGAAUUGGCGGGG
This 415-nucleotide ribosomal RNA is filed under the name uncultured prokaryote. Its description in RNAcentral is "bacterial SSU rRNA". It matches the Rfam family "Bacterial small subunit ribosomal RNA", at positions 505 to 918 of the family's 1533-position model. The record is from RNAcentral.